This 1767-nucleotide long non-coding RNA is filed under the name Homo sapiens (human). RNAcentral's name for it is "HSALNT0326011". Lineage: Eukaryota; Metazoa; Chordata; Mammalia; Primates; Hominidae. The record is from RNAcentral.
AGUCCUUCUAGAGAUUGUGGGGGAACAACAGUGCCUUCUCUCUUUCCUCACUCAGGUCUUGUUAGUCCUUUGGAGACUUAGAAAAGCUGAGGAAGAACCACCUAGUUCACCCUAUCCCCCAGGUAACAAACAUUUACUAUAUUACUUUGUCAUUACUUUUGUGAGACAAGCACAGAAAGAAGAAAAGAGGAUGAGGAACACUAUUUGGGGACACUCAAGUCUCCAAAUGUGAAAUCAGGAGGGAAGCAUUGGACUGUGGUAGAAGCAAGCAGUUUGGCGUGGCAACUGACUUGGCCAUAUUUCUUCUCCUCCUCUUCACCCAUCACUUCCUUUCAUGGCUACAUUUUCUCGUCUCUCUUUUGUACUUUGUCUUCCUUCAGUUUGAUGAGUUUGUAUGAUGUAGUGAAUCAUUAAAAAGGAAAGCCAGCUGGGUGCAGUGGCUCAUGCCUGUAAUCCCAACACCUUGGGAAGCUGAGGUGGGCAGAUCACUUGAGCUCAGGAGUUCAAGACCAGCCCUAGUAAACAUAGUGAGACUCUGUCUCUGCAGAAAAUAGAAAACUUAGUCAGGUGUGGUGGGGCCCGCCUGUAGUCUUGGCUACUCAGGGCUGCAGUGAACCGAGAUUGCGCAGUGAACUGAGAUUGCACCACUCCACUGUAGCCUGGGUGACAGAGUGACAGUCUGCCUCAAAAAAAAAAAAAAAAAAAAAAAAAGCCAUUUGAUUCUUUCUCAUACACAAGCAGAACACACUGACCUUGUUAAGACUCCUGACACCAGUUGGCCAAGUCUCCUUUUCUUCCUUUUUUGUAAUUGUUCAGGCUAUUUGCCCAACAGGCAAAACACAAAAAAGACUUUCUUUUAUCUUCAGAUUGCAAUAAGUUCUGUGGUGUUCCUAUAUAACCGGUAGAGUCCUAGCAAGUUAAGAGAACUUAUCUUUUAACGAGAUUGAGAUCCUAAAAUGUUAGAGGGGUGUAUCCAUUAUUUGGUUGUUUGUUGUUUGUUAACUGGAUAAAAAUCUAGCCCAGAUCUUCCUUUUUUUUUUUUUUUUCUGAUUAGUAAAGACAAAGGUUUUCCUGGGAAAAUUCAGGCUGAGCAUCUUGUCUUAUUACUAGUGUUUACUAUCUGGAUCCAUCUAUUAGGAACAGAAAUUUUGACUCUAUUCUCUACAGAAAUUAUGAAUUUAGUUGGACAGAUACCAGUGUAUCAUGAGAACCCUGGGAAACAAACUGUUUCAAGGACAAAAGCAUUCCUCUGACUCAGUUUUUAGAUGAAGCUUAUAAAAUAGUCCUUAAGCCUUUAGCAAUUUGUCCUAAAUGAGGAUGAUUUAAAAGUCACUCACCUUGGGACUAUAUAUUGAAGGACAAUAAGUGAAACAGCAAUAAUAACAGGCAGUAAAUGUUGCAACAGUAAUAUCCUGGGUAAAAUCUGAUGUUUGAAAAAUACUGAAAACACAUUCUAUGUGUCAUAAAAUCUGUAUGACCUGCCCCCACCUACUGUCAACUUACCUUUCUUAACAGGUUUUAUCCUUAAGGUGGAAAACAAUCUUGGGCACCAGCUAUCUUAUUAAAAAAAAAAAGCCAGCCCUGCUCAAGAGAGAGGCUGGGGACCACAAGAGCUGUGGAAAAAAAAAACAACAAACAAACAAACAAACAAACAAAAAAACCCAACAUCCAAGGGUGUCAAGCAGGUGAGGAUGGCUGUAGGAAAGCUAAUGCCACUCUGGUCCUAAAUGAAUAGUCUCUAGCAUUUGAUAAACAUGUGCUGAGUCA